UACGGGGGGGGCAAGCGUUGUUCGGAAUUAUUGGGCGUAAAGGGCGCGUAGGCGGCCUGUUAAGUCGAACGUGAAAUCCCCGGGCUCAACCCGGGAACUGCGUCCGAUACUGGCAGGCUUGAAUCUGGCAGAGGGGGGUGGAAUUCCACGUGUAGCAGUGAAAUGCGUAGAGAUGUGGAGGAACACCGAUGGCGAAGGCAGCCCCCUGGGCUGAGAUUGACGCUGAGUGCACGAAAGCGUGGGGAGCAAACAGG
This 254-nucleotide ribosomal RNA is filed under the name uncultured bacterium. Its description in RNAcentral is "partial 16S ribosomal RNA". It matches the Rfam family "Bacterial small subunit ribosomal RNA", at positions 524 to 776 of the family's 1533-position model. The record is from RNAcentral.